RNAcentral lists this ribosomal RNA (884 nucleotides) under uncultured Acaulospora. Its description in RNAcentral is "eukaryotic LSU rRNA". It matches the Rfam family "Eukaryotic large subunit ribosomal RNA", at positions 1 to 802 of the family's 3401-position model. Lineage: Eukaryota; Fungi; Glomeromycota; Glomeromycetes; Diversisporales; Acaulosporaceae. The record is from RNAcentral.
UACCUCAAGUCAAGUAAGAAUACCCGCUGAACUUAAGCAUAUCAAUAAGCGGAGGAAAAGAAACUAACUAGGAUUCCCUUAGUAACGGCGAGUGAACUGGGAAGAGCUCAAAUUUUAAAUCACUUUGGUGAAUUGUAAUUUGAAGAAAGUGUUUUGACUUUUCAGUUUAAUCUAAAUCCUUUGGGAUGAGGUAUCAUAGAGGGUGAGAAUCCCGUUUGUGAUUAAACCUCGGAUUGCACUAAUUCACUUUCUAAGAGUCGAGUUGUUUGGGAUUGCAGCUCUAAAUGGGUGGUAAAUUUCACCUAAGGCUAAAUAUAUGCAAGAGACCGAUAGCGAACAAGUACCGUGAGGGAAAGAUGAAAAGAACUUUGAAAAGAGAGUUAAACAGUACGUGAAAUUGUUGAAAGGGAAACGAUUGAAGUCAGUCAUGCUAGUGAGGAAUCAACUUGGUGGUUUACUUCCUUGUGUAUUUUCUUACUUGGCAGGUUAGCAUCAAUUUUGGUUGUCAUCAAAUAAUUGGGGGAAUGUGGCUUUUCUUCGGGAAAGUGUUAUAGACCUUGAUAGAUGUGGCGACUGAGAUUGAGGUUUGCAGCGAAUGCCUUUGGCUAGUCAUCUGUCUUCUGACCGUCACCUCGCUUUUGACAGCUUGCUGAUGAUUGUGGGAUUUGGUGGCCUAGAAGUUAGAAUGUACAUAAAUUCGCUAAGGAUGCUGACGUAAUGGCUUUAAACGACCCGUCUUGAAACACGGACCAAGGAGUCUAACAUAUGUGCGAGUGUUUGGGUGAUAAAACCCGGAACGCGUAAUGAAAGUGAUUCUGGUGGGAACCUCUCGGGGUGCACCAUCGACCGAUCAGGAUAUUCUUUGAUAGAUUUGAGUAAGAGCA